CAAGACGACUUUGUGAUCGGUCCCGGCCUCCAACCGGGCGAAAGAGGGAAUGUAGUGCGGCGCGCCCACGCGUCAAAUCUGCAACUGCCCCCGCAACUGUGAGCGGUGAGCAGGGCCAAACAUGCCACUGGUUUCGACCGGGAAGGCUGGCCCAAUGCCAAGACCCGCAAGUCAGGAGACCUGCCGAACACGCGCCCCAUGG
RNAcentral lists this non-coding RNA (202 nucleotides) under Tropicibacter naphthalenivorans. The record is from RNAcentral. Lineage: Bacteria; Pseudomonadati; Pseudomonadota; Alphaproteobacteria; Rhodobacterales; Roseobacteraceae.